GAUGAACGCUGGCGGCGUGCUUAACACAUGCAAGUCGAACGGUGAAGGCGGAGCUUGCUCUGCUGGAUCAGUGGCGAACGGGUGAGUAACACGUGAGCAAUCUGCCCCUGACUCUGGGAUAAGCGCUGGAAACGGCGUCUAAUACUGGAUACGAGCUGCGAAGGCAUCUUCAGCAGCUGGAAAGAAUUUCGGUCAGGGAUGAGCUCGCGGCCUAUCAGCUUGUUGGUGAGGUAAUGGCUCACCAAGGCGUCGACGGGUAGCCGGCCUGAGAGGGUGACCGGCCACACUGGGACUGAGACACGGCCCAGACUCCUACGGGAGGCAGCAGUGGGGAAUAUUGCACAAUGGGCGAACGCCUGAUGCAGCAACGCCGCGUGAGGGACGACGGCCUUCGGGUUGUAAACCUCUUUUAGCAGGGAAGAAGCGAAAGUGACGGUACCUGCAGAAAAAGCGCCGGCUAACUACGUG
RNAcentral lists this ribosomal RNA (468 nucleotides) under uncultured bacterium. RNAcentral's name for it is "partial 16S ribosomal RNA". It matches the Rfam family "Bacterial small subunit ribosomal RNA", at positions 28 to 507 of the family's 1533-position model. The record is from RNAcentral.